Molecule: ribosomal RNA, 814 nt
Filed under: uncultured Clostridium sp.
Lineage: Bacteria; Bacillati; Bacillota; Clostridia; Eubacteriales; Clostridiaceae
Description: bacterial SSU rRNA
Rfam family: Bacterial small subunit ribosomal RNA
Source: RNAcentral
AGUCGAGCGAUGAAGUUGCCUUCGGGGAACGGAUUAGCGGCGGACGGGUGAGUAACACGUGGGUAACCUGCCUCAAAGAGGGGGAUAGCCUCCCGAAAGGGAGAUUAAUACCGCAUAAUAUCUUUUUAAUGCAUGUUAGAAAGAUUAAAGGAGCAAUCCGCUUUGAGAUGGACCCGCGGCGCAUUAGCUAGUUGGUGAGGUAACGGCUCACCAAGGCGACGAUGCGUAGCCGACCUGAGAGGGUGAUCGGCCACAUUGGGACUGAGACACGGCCCAGACUCCUACGGGAGGCAGCAGUGGGGAAUAUUGCGCAAUGGGGGGAACCCUGACGCAGCAACGCCGCGUGAGUGAUGAAGGUCUUCGGAUCGUAAAGCUCUGUCUUCAGGGACGAUAAUGACGGUACCUGAGGAGGAAGCCACGGCUAACUACGUGCCAGCAGCCGCGGUAAUACGUAGGUGGCAAGCGUUGUCCGGAUUUAUUGGGCGUAAAGCAUGCGUAGGCGGAUAUUUAAGUGGGAUGUGAAAUCCCGGGGCUUAACCCCGGUGCUGCAUUUCAAACUGGAUAUCUAGAGUGCAGGAGAGGAAAGCGGAAUUCCUAGUGUAGCGGUGAAAUGCGUAGAUAUUAGGAAGAACACCAGUGGCGAAGGCGGCUUUCUGGACUGUAACUGACGCUGAGGCAUGAAAGCGUGGGUAGCAAACAGGAUUAGAUACCCUGGUAGUCCACGCCGUAAACGAUGGGUACUAGGUGUCGGGGUUUCAAUACUCCGGUGCGCAGUUAACACAUUAAGUACCCCGCCUGGGGGAGUACGAUCGCA